Papaver somniferum (opium poppy) is the source of this 2880-nucleotide RNA transcript. RefSeq lists it as uncharacterized. The transcript has 3 exons. NCBI's taxonomy places the organism in Eukaryota, Viridiplantae, Streptophyta, Magnoliopsida, Ranunculales, Papaveraceae. The record is from RefSeq and is a predicted model, not a curated record.
CAAUAAUGUGGUCGGAGAUUUGUAUAUAAAAACAUUAAAAAAUUGAAGACAUCAAAAUUAAAGCUAUAACAUUGUAAAGGGUUCCUAAUAAGUUUUAUCUAUGUACUUUAGGCUCACUUUAAUAAUAGAGCUGUAAAACAUUUUCACAGCUUCUAAAGAUAAAAAAAUAAGGGUAAAAAGUAAAAAUAUCGAAAACCCUAAUUCACUUUAUAAAAGUUGAUCCCCAUUUCUCAAAGUGAUUUUUAGGGCAUGAUGAGUAAGAAGACUCAAAGAAAGGCCGCUGCUGGUGAUAAACAUCGGACUUGCAGAUUCAGAAGAAACAGAUGCAAGAAGAUGAGCGGUGAUAAUGAUCUACAAUUCUGUGAAAGCCAUUACAGUUUUCACAUAAAUUUCUUAAGAAGCAAUCCUUCGAUUGUAAAAGAGUGUCAUCAUCAUCUUCUUGAGUCUGAAACUCCAGAUCUGACCAAAAUGGAGGAGGAGGGUAAGAUGAAGAAGGAGAAUCUGGAGAGUUUCAUCCCUCCAGAUGAAGAGCGUUGUUGUAAAAACGAUACAAUCAGAUGGAGAUGCAAGAAUUUCAGAAUGAAGAGCUGUGUGGCUGAAAAUUGUAAAUUUUGUGAAAAACAUUGCAAAUUUUAUGCAAAGCAAAAUAAGAAGAGAAGUAGAGAUUAUGAUGAUGAAUUUGAUGAUUGUAACAGUGAUAUUGAAACUUGGGAUUCAAAAUGCUUGAAACUCCGGAGGAAGAAGCCGCAGAAGCUGACGGAGGAAGAUGAAUUGGCUAUGGGAGGAAUUCAACCGCCUGCAAAUCAUACCAGCUCUGAUGGAGUUGUAGGUGGUGGUUCUACGGGUAUUGGGACGAAGACGAAAUCACCCACAGGAAUUAGCCCACCUGUGGUUGAAUUACAGAGUACGGAGCAUUACAAGACUAAGUGUUUUGAAUUGUCCUUGGUGCUUGAGAAGAAGGAAAUUGAGCUUGAGAAGACGAAAAUUGAAAUUGAGAAGACGAAAAUUGAGCUUGAGAAGACGAAAAUUGAGCUUGAGAAGACGAAAAUGGAGCUUGAGAAGAAUAAAGUAGACCCUGAGGAGAUGAAAAUUGAGCUCGAGAAGAAGAAUGUGGAGCUUGAGGAGAUGAAGAUUGAGCUCGAGAAGAAGAAUGUGGAGCUUGAGGAGAUGAAGAUUGAGCUCGAGAAGAAGAAUGUGGAGUGCACUGAACUCCAGGGUAAAUAUUAGGUAGAAUCUAGAAAGAAUGCUGCUAAAAAUGAUGAGGAUGCAACUAAAUAUUGGAGGAACAAGUGUUCGGAUUUGGAAACUGUAGUCCAAAAGAUGGAAAUUGAAAAUUCAAUGAUGAGAUGUGAAGCGUCUCGUGUUUCUAAUUUGAAGAGCCUAGUCCCGAGGAAUGGAAAUGGUAGUUCAAUGUUGAGAUGUGAAGAGUUGCAAAGUUCUGAAAAGAUUGAGCCCGAAGCUCUGGGUUUGCAGAAUGAUGAUGUUACUCAAAGUGGUGAAAAGCAAAUAGAUGAAAACAACAUGAGCAAACCUAAUGCUGAAUCCUGCUGUGAAGGGAGGGAGGAAUCUCAUGUGUAUGAUGUUGCCGUCACUAAACAUCGCGAAUCAGAGUCUGAAAUUCGCAAAUACUCUGCUAUGAACAUUUCUUCUGGAAGUCUACAUUUAUCAAGUGGGGGUGAAAACGUUGAAGAAGUGAACGGUUGGGGCUGUGCAGAAGAGAGACCAUCUCAACAUGGAUCAUCAUCUCAAGAUCAUUUGGAUAUGAGUAAGGAGCCUUUUGCUGACUGGGUCUCAGAUUACGGUGGUGAUAGUCUUGGCAAUUCUGAAGAUUCUGAUUGUUCCGCUGAUUCAAAAAAUUCUCUUGGCGACCUUAUGGAUAUGCUGGCGAUGAAAUAUAGGAAUAGGAACGAUGGCAAAGAAAUGAAAUGGAAAUCUGAGCCUGAAUUGCUUUCUUCGUUUGAAGAGAAUCCUGAGCUGUGUAUGAAAGCUGUUUGUGCUCUCUAUCGACAGGAAAUAUCCGAAGACGAAAUAUCACCCAAGGGGUUGCAUUUUGACAGUGACACGCUCAGAGUUGGGUGGAACAAGAAAGUUUAGAGGCUGACUUUUUCAUGAUUGAGUUGGGUGGAACAGGAAAGUUUAGAGGCCGACUUUGCCAUGAUUGUCGGAUAAAAGAUUUGCUGCCUUCCCUAGAUUUGAUAUCUGUAGUUGUCAUGUGAACGGAGGGAGCAAGCUGUUACCUUGCUUGUGGCUGCACGUCCACAGGGCAGGAAGCCCAGCUUAGUAAAAUGUUCAUAGUUAUUUCGAAGUACAAAAUGGAAAUGGGAAGAAUCAACAGCAGUACUAUCUUUUCUUGGUUUUCUGUUUUCAUACACUUUUGGCGUAGAUUGAUAUUUUCUCUUAACAGGUGUACUACUUUGGCCAAGUUUCUAAUGGGUGAGGACUGCAAAGGUGACAUAAAGAAGUCUGUGACAGAAUUGGAGACAUUAGAUUCUAAGGCUGUUGUCGACUGCAAGAAGCUGGCUAGGAGAUACUCGAUUCAUUUAUUCAAUAUCUACCAAAACGGGAAAGAUCCUUUUUUCCAUCCAGCAGCAGCUUCCAGCCCUGCAGAUCAAAUUGCUGCUAGUUGAUGGAUUGGUGUGUAAGUGGCCUUAAUUUUUUUGCACUAGAUAGUAGACAUUGCAAUCUUUUUGACUGUGUUAUUUGAGACAUUGCAAUCUUACAUCUCCUUUUAACUUCCUCUAAUUUUGUACACAUAUGAGAUGGAGAACUGGUUAACAUACCAUGUAAUACACUGGAUGUGUAUUUUCUUUUCUUUUUUUUUGGUCGGUAAAUUGACGUACAUUGGCUGUGUGUUGCAAUGUAGCAACUCAUAUUAUGGUA